This 376-nucleotide ribosomal RNA is filed under the name uncultured bacterium. RNAcentral's name for it is "bacterial SSU rRNA". It matches the Rfam family "Bacterial small subunit ribosomal RNA", at positions 524 to 898 of the family's 1533-position model. The record is from RNAcentral.
UACGUAGGUGGCGAGCGUUGUCCGGAUUUACUGGGCGUAAAGAGCCCGCAGGCGGUCCGAUAAGUUCCUGGUGAAAUCUCCUGGCUCAACUGGGAGGGUGCCUGGAAAACUGUCGGACUUGAGGCAUGGAGAGGGAUGUGGAAUUCCCGGUGUAGUGGUGAAAUGCGUAGAUAUCGGGAGGAACACCAGUGGCGAAGGCGGCAUCCUGGCCAUGUCCUGACGCUCAGGGGCGAAAGCGUGGGGAGCAAACCGGAUUAGAUACCCGGGUAGUCCACGCCGUAAACGAUGAGUACUAGGGGUAGGGGGUAUCGACCCCCUCUGUCCCGAAGCCAACGCGAUAAGUACUCCGCCUGGGGACUACGGCCGCAAGGCUAAA